GACGAACGCUGGCGGCGUGCUUAACACAUGCAAGUCGAACGGAAAGGCCCUGCUUUUGUGGGGUGCUCGAGUGGCGAACGGGUGAGUAACACGUGAGUAACCUGCCCUUGACUUUGGGAUAACUUCAGGAAACUGGGGCUAAUACCGGAUAGGAGCUCCUGCUGCAUGGUGGGGGUUGGAAAGUUUCGGCGGUUGGGGAUGGACUCGCGGCUUAUCAGCUUGUUGGUGGGGUAGUGGCUUACCAAGGCUUUGACGGGUAGCCGGCCUGAGAGGGUGACCGGCGACAUUGGGACUGAGAGACGGCCCAGACUCCUACGGGAGGCAGCAGUGGGGAAUAUUGCACAAUGGGCGGAAGCCUGAUGCAGCAACGCCGCGUGCGGGAUGACGGCCUUCGGGUUGUAAACCGCUUUCGCCUGUGACGAAGCGUGAGUGACGGUAAUGGGUAAAGAAGCACCGGCUAACUACGUG
Molecule: ribosomal RNA, 468 nt
Filed under: uncultured bacterium
Lineage: Bacteria
Description: partial 16S ribosomal RNA
Rfam family: Bacterial small subunit ribosomal RNA
Source: RNAcentral